AUUGAACGCUGGCGGCAUGCCUUACACAUGCAAGUCGAACGGUAACGGGCCUUCGGGUGCCGACGAGUGGCGAACGGGUGAGUAAUACAUCGGAACGUGCCCGAUCGUGGGGGAUAACGAGGCGAAAGCUUUGCUAAUACCGCAUACGAUCUACGGAUGAAAGCAGGGGACCGCAAGGCCUUGCGCGGACGGAGCGGCCGAUGGCAGAUUAGGUAGUUGGUGGGAUAAAAGCUUACCAAGCCGACGAUCUGUAGCUGGGCUGAGAGGAUGAUCAGCCACACUGGGACUGAGACACGGCCCAGACUCCUACGGGAGGCAGCAGUGGGGAAUUUUGGACAAUGGGCGCAAGCCUGAUCCAGCCAUGCCGCGUGCAGGAUGAAGGCCUUCGGGUUGUAAACUGCUUUUGUACGGAACGAAAAGCCUUCUUUUAAUACAGGAGGGUCAUGACGGUACCGUAAGAAUAAGCACCGGCUAACUACGUG
RNAcentral lists this ribosomal RNA (482 nucleotides) under uncultured bacterium. Its description in RNAcentral is "partial 16S ribosomal RNA". It matches the Rfam family "Bacterial small subunit ribosomal RNA", at positions 30 to 507 of the family's 1533-position model. The record is from RNAcentral.